Molecule: long non-coding RNA, 912 nt
Filed under: Erythranthe guttata (spotted monkey flower)
Lineage: Eukaryota; Viridiplantae; Streptophyta; Magnoliopsida; Lamiales; Phrymaceae
Description: long non-coding RNA (EGUT_LNC003378)
Source: RNAcentral
CGCACUAUGUGUUUAAAUUCCUUUAUGACAAUUGGGAUGUCGUCAAAGGGGAGGACGCUCCAUCCAAAUUGCUAAGAUUGCUGCGUAUUUUCCUGUCUAAGAAAGAAAACAACAGCCAAGAGAUCGAGCUUGUUGAUCCGCAUGAAAACUAGUGAUGAACAUAAAUGUUGGCACUUGCGAUUCGUUUACCUCAAAGAAAGAUUGAUGCCCGUCGCUUAACUGAGAAAGGUGGUGGUGUAAUUUUUAAAAUCUGAUUCCAAAUGUUUCGUGUCAAAUUUCCUUACAAAUUCUUUUUUUCUGGAAACAUUGUCUUGGGAUUAAGUUCUCUAUUGGGAAUGUCAAAUGUUUUAAUGUCCUUGGAAAGUUCUAACCACAAUUCCUUCACAUCAAAUUAUAUUUGGAUUCGUCUACAUUUUAGCUUAUGUUAAAUGCCUAUAUCUUCAAAAGCUCGGGCUAAUAAACAAAACUAGCAUUGAUAAAAUACCGAAAAAUUUGAUUAUGUAGAUAACGGGAACUCCGAUAGAGGGUCGUCAAGGAAGCAUCACAAAGCUAGAUACUUCACCUUAGUACGAGAAAAGAAGGUUAAGCAAAUAAGGUAAUAUGAGAUGCAGAUAGAUUCCAAAAAGCUCAUAUUCUUGUAGGCAUUUCAACAAACAUGUAAUAGGCAUCCACAUAAUCCUACAUCAUCGUACAGAUCUACCAACACAAACAAAACAUUAACAACAACGCAAAGCAAAACUUACCAAUCCUUUCUGUGACGAACAACUCCGAUUCUCUCGUUCUUCUUCUCUCCUAAGCACUCCGAGGUUAACUGUCAAUGUUUGAUUCUCUCCACACUCUUCAGCUGCAUUGCCAUUCUCGAACUUGAUUGAUUCUUUUCCGGCGCAUUGGAAUUAGCAUAAUUGAACUCAG